This 253-nucleotide ribosomal RNA is filed under the name uncultured bacterium. RNAcentral's name for it is "partial 16S ribosomal RNA". It matches the Rfam family "Bacterial small subunit ribosomal RNA", at positions 524 to 776 of the family's 1533-position model. The record is from RNAcentral.
UACGUAGGGGGCAAGCGUUGUCCGGAUUUAUUGGGCGUAAAGAGCGUGUAGGCGGCCAGACAGGUCUGCUGUGAAAACUCGAGGCUCAACCUCGAGACGCCGGUGGAAACCGUUUGGCUAGAGUCCGGAAGAGGAGAGUGGAAUUCCUGGUGUAGCGGUGAAAUGCGUAGAUAUCAGGAGGAACACCGGUGGUGUAAACGGCUGUCUGGACCAUAACUGACGCUGAGGCACGAAAGCGUGGGGAGCAAACAGG